GCCUUCGUGGUGCAGUGGUCAGCACGCUCGGAGAGUAUUCCAGAGAUCCGUGGUUCGAGUCCCGGCGAGGGCA
Non-coding RNA from Stegodyphus mimosarum, 73 nucleotides. Lineage: Eukaryota; Metazoa; Arthropoda; Arachnida; Araneae; Eresidae. The record is from Rfam.